AGUGAACGCUGGCGGUAUGCCUAACACAUGCAAGUCGAACGGCACCACCGUAACAGCUUGCUCUUACGUGUGGCGAGUGGCGGACGGUUGAGGUAUACAUCGGAAUCUACUUUUUCGCGGCGGCUAAUGUAGGGUAACUUACGCUAAUACCGCAUACGACCUCCGGGUGUAAGCACGGGAUCUUCUGACCUUGCGCGAUUGUAUGAGCCGAUGUCGGCUUAGCUAGUUGGCGGGGUAAAGGCCCACCACGGCCACGCUCCGUAGCUGGUCUGACAGGAUGGACAGGCACACUGGAAGUGAGACACGGUCCAGACUCCUGCGGGAGGAAGCAGUGGAGAAUAUUGGACAAUGGGGGAGAGGCUAAUCCAGCCAUACCGGGUGGGUGAAGAAGGAGUUCGGGUUGGAGAGCCAUGAUGUUGGGAAAGAAAAGCAGCAGGUUAAUACGCCGCGGUACUGACAGUACCCAAAGAAUAAGCACCGGCUAACUUCGUG
This 492-nucleotide ribosomal RNA is filed under the name uncultured bacterium. RNAcentral's name for it is "partial 16S ribosomal RNA". It matches the Rfam family "Bacterial small subunit ribosomal RNA", at positions 29 to 507 of the family's 1533-position model. The record is from RNAcentral.